RNAcentral lists this long non-coding RNA (406 nucleotides) under Dasypus novemcinctus (nine-banded armadillo). RNAcentral describes it as "lncRNA (ENSDNOG00000050527.1)". The record is from RNAcentral. Lineage: Eukaryota; Metazoa; Chordata; Mammalia; Cingulata; Dasypodidae.
AAUAAUUCAUUAUAACUUUUUUUUUUUUCCUAAAAAGACUGAUUUCUUAAAGACUGUGCCAGUUCUUUUGCAUUGCUAUGCUGAGACCCAGAGGUUGUGAGCUUUCCUGCCUGAGGCUGUUUUCUUCAUCAGACGCUUUCAAGUACCCUGGGAAGUUGUGUCUAAGGCUGGAGAAUACGAGGUGUGAAAUAUGAACAAUGGACCAGGCCUGGCAGGGAGGUGUUUCCAGCAGUGCAGUGGUAAGACCAACAGACUUAAUCUGAAACAGAAGCACCAUUAGAAAUUGAAAAUGCUUUCAGCACUGGGUCAAAACCAUCACUCCAAGUCUAGUGUGUGAGUGCCAAAGAUGAUAUCGUGGUCUCUGUGGCUGCUCUUGUCCCAACCAAGACCUGAGUUUAUUGCCCAU